GACAGAGGCCUCGAGCGUUAGGCGGAAUCACUGGGCUUAAAGCGUGUGUAGGCGGGCCCGUAAGUGUCUUGUGAAAUCCCACGGCUCAACCGUGGAACUGCUGGGCAUACUGCGGGUCUUGGGCCAACUAGGGGCAGCCGGAACAAGCGGUGGAGCGGUGAAAUGCGUAGAUAUCGUUUGGAACGCCGAUGGUGAAAACAGGUCGCUGGGGUUGUGCUGACGCUGAGACACGGAAAGCCAGGGAGCGAACGGG
This 253-nucleotide ribosomal RNA is filed under the name uncultured bacterium. RNAcentral's name for it is "partial 16S ribosomal RNA". It matches the Rfam family "Bacterial small subunit ribosomal RNA", at positions 524 to 776 of the family's 1533-position model. The record is from RNAcentral.